UUGAACUGAUGCAUUCUGACUGUACUACACAUUCCCAAUCAUGCUACUCGAGUGCCAUGCUGGGAAGAUCUGUUUCCCACUGGGCAGUUUUCCCAGUGGUGAGGGGUUGGGAUCGCCCAAUUCUGAGAGGCAGUCACUCCUGAUGGUGAGAGCAACUUCUGAGCAGCUUCCGUGGUAUCUUGGAGGUGAAAAAGCUGGUUGGGUGUUUAGCCCCAAAGCCACCAGCUGGCUCCCAGGGAGAACCAUAGGAGACUCUUAGUGGAGCAGAGUAAGCAUGGGUUGCUCCUGGAGACAAAAAGGACUCCGGAAGAAGGGGACCUGACUGGAGGAGCAGGGCAGGUUGGAGGAGGAGGAGCCGGCAAUCCUUGCAUCAGACUGGCCCUGAGCUAACAUCCGUGCCCAUCUUCCUCUACUUUAUAUGUGGGAUGGCUGCCACAGCAUGGCAUGCCAAGCGGUGCCAUGUCCCCACCUGGGAUCAAACCAGCGCACCCCAGGCUGCUGAAGUGGAACAUGUGAACUUAACCACUGGGCCACGGGGCUGGCCCCUUUACCUUCCUUUAAUCUGGGAUUGGUCUAAACUGUGGACUGCUGAGGGCCUUUGAGGCAGGGAGAAAGUCCUGCUGUGCUGCACUUUCUCCUUGGUUUUGGGCUUUUGUGGAGACCUGCUGCUUGGACCGGUUUUGGCUGUCUUCUGACUGUGAAGGUGGAUAUUAUAGAGAGAGUUGACAUAUGUAAAUAAAGGCUUGAGUCCUUGUCGAUGCAACUGAGUUUCAGAAUCGCCUAUUUGGGACAUCUUGGUAGGUUGGCUUUUCUGCGGAUUGAAGUCCAAAGAAUCUAACUGAUAGACAUACUUUUUCCCUAACUCAUCUAACAUGAGCAGGCACAAAGCAAACCCUUCAGCAAAGAAUUGAUAAACACUCUGGUUUUGUUAUGGCUUAAAGCGAGAUUCUGGACCCCGGAGGAUUUCUGAGGAGUUUGACUGUGCAGUCACAUGACAGAGGAACUGGAAACUAACUUGAACAAAAGGUAGCAGGCUGGACGGCCAAGGAAUCUCCUUUUCUGUCAAGACAACAAGCUGCUUACCUCAGAAUCAGCUGCUUCUUUGUUUAGUUCUUUUUCUCUUCCUGAAGGAUUUGGAACUGAGAUCCAUCCAUCCAUCCAGCAAAUAUCUAUCACACCCCCUGUAUGUGAGCAUUUACCUAUGUGGCGGUAAUGGGGACCCUGGGUUCCCCUCAACCGGGUGCUAUGUGCACUGUAACAACUGUGGCAGUGCUGUGGGCUGUGGGCUGUGGGCUCUUUUGUCAACAGCCUCCUGCUCCCAAAGCUGGGCCCUUCUAAAGAUGGUGUCAGAGAGAGCCCUUGAGGAACUCAGCCUAGCAAAGAGUUAUCCAGUGACAACCAAGCAGAGCCACUGCGUCGGGUGUGAAAAGACAUGCUGCCAGCGUACUAUGGGUGCUAUCGCACUGAAACGUGCAGAAUGGGUGUCACGGCAUGGAAGAAAGUCUCUGAGCAGAGACUUAAGAAAUGCAGCCUCACCAACAGUCACUUGACAGAUGAGGACACAGACCCAGAGAGGACAAGUCGCUCAUCUUACAUGUGUUAACCCAUCAAGCUGUACACUUAAGACUUACACACUUUACUCUUGGGUAUGUUUUAUUUCAGUUAAAAAAAGCAAACAGGAACAAAAGAAAAAAUGACCCUUGAUAUUUUUUGCCAUCACUGAGAAAAAGGAAUAAAGGCAGAACUUUGAAUAAAGAGAAAAUCAAUGAUACUUUACAUGUUUUAAAUUAGUCAUUAUGAGAAUGGUCUAAUUAAUUUAUCAUCCCUCUCCUGCUAGAAGCUCUUCUAAAUCUUACAUUGAAGUUUCAACUUCGGUUUCAAUGAGAUGCUUCUAAACUUGUGAUGAUGUGUAAUAGGGGUGCCGGGAUCUUCGUGUUGAUCUUAGAGUUCAGAGUCAUGUCCUGAAGUUGUUGGUUCCCACUCUGGGGUCAGGAG
Long non-coding RNA from Equus caballus (horse), 1995 nucleotides. NCBI's taxonomy places the organism in Eukaryota, Metazoa, Chordata, Mammalia, Perissodactyla, Equidae. The record is from Ensembl.